UACGGAGGGUGCGAGCGUUGUCCGGAAUCACUGGGCGUAAAGGGCGCGUAGGCGGCGCGGAUAGUCGGCGGUGAAAGCCCGGAGCUCAACUCCGGGUCGGCCGUCGAUACUUCCGGGCUUGAGCACUGUAGAGGCAGAUGGAAUUCCGGGUGUAGCGGUGGAAUGCGUAGGAGAUCCGGAAGAACACCGGUGGCGAAAGGCGGUCGUG
RNAcentral lists this ribosomal RNA (208 nucleotides) under uncultured bacterium. Its description in RNAcentral is "partial 16S ribosomal RNA". It matches the Rfam family "Bacterial small subunit ribosomal RNA", at positions 524 to 728 of the family's 1533-position model. The record is from RNAcentral.